AGAGUUUGAUCAUGGCUCAGGAUGAACGCUGGCGGCGUGCCUAAUACAUGCAAGUCGAACGGACACCUUCGGGUGUUAGUGGCGAACGGGUGAGUAACACGUAGGUAAUCUACCUUAUAGACGGGGAUAACGGUUGGAAACGACCGCUAAUACCGGAUAGUAUAUCAAACCGCAUGAUUUGAUAUUUAAAGCUGGGUUGCAGCACUAUGAGAUGAGCCUGCGGCGCAUUAGUUAGUUGGCGGGAUAAAGCCCACCAAGACGAUGAUGCGUAGCCGGACUGAGAGGUUGAACGGCCACAGUUGGGACUGAGAACGGCCCAGACUCCUACGGGAGGCAGCAGGUAGGGUAAUUUUCGGCAAGUGGGGGAAACCCUGACCGAGCAACGCCGCCGUGAUUGAAGAAGUAUUUCGGUAUGUAAAAAUCUUUUUAGAGGACGAACGGCUAUACUAGGGAAUGAGUAUAGAUUGACGGUACUUUAAGAAUAAGCCCCGGCUAACUACGUGCCAGCAGCCGC
This 514-nucleotide ribosomal RNA is filed under the name uncultured bacterium. Its description in RNAcentral is "bacterial SSU rRNA". It matches the Rfam family "Bacterial small subunit ribosomal RNA", at positions 8 to 518 of the family's 1533-position model. The record is from RNAcentral.